RNAcentral lists this ribosomal RNA (422 nucleotides) under uncultured bacterium. RNAcentral describes it as "bacterial SSU rRNA". It matches the Rfam family "Bacterial small subunit ribosomal RNA", at positions 355 to 774 of the family's 1533-position model. The record is from RNAcentral.
UGAGGAAUAUUGGUCAAUGGGCGCAAGCCUGAACCAGCCAUCCCGCGUGAAGGAAGAAGGCGCUAUGCGUUGUAAACUUCUUUUCCAGGGGGAGAAUUUUUCCGUCGUGACGGGAAUUGACGGUACUCUGGGAAUAAGCAUCGGCUAACUCCGUGCCAGCAGCCGCGGUAGUACGGAGGAUGCGAGCGUUAUCCGGAUUUAUUGGGUUUAAAGGGUGCGUAGGCGGAUUGAUAAGUCAGUGGUGAAAGGCUGCAGCUUAACUGUAGACUUGCCGUUGAUACUGUCAGUCUUGAGUAUGGUCAAGGCAGGCGGAAUGUGUAAUGUAGCGGUGAAAUGCCUAGAUAUUACACAGAACACCGAUUGCGAAGGCAGCUCGCUGGGCCAUCACUGACGCUCAUGCACGAAAGCGUGGGGAUCGAACA